ACAAGAGCCUCAGAGCAAGCCAUCUCAUUACCCAUACAGACAGAAGGGAGGUUUGAAACUUUACUGUCAACUUGCUGACUAAAUGCAGACCAAUCACUAGGUUUUUUAUCAGCAGCACUUCUACAAUUCCACUGUAGGAGUACCUGAUCCAUUAUUGGGAUUGAUAGACACAGUGUUUUCAAUUAGUUGGGCAACGUGAGACGGUAUAGAAUUGGUGGGAAUUAAACUGGAUUUAAACAAAAGCUCAAUAAGAGACAAAAUUAAUUUUGCUAUGGGUUGGUUUGAUUUAUCAUUUUCUGAGUUAUCAUUUUUCAGAGCAGAACCAUUUGGUGAAGAUAGAGGAAUAUCAUAAUCUUUUAUAAGGGAUGCAUGUGCAGCCCGGUCAUACCCAGCCGAAGGCGUAGGAGGAGCACGAGGCUUAAGGAAAACUGUCUUUUUAUAUGAGCUGGAAGAUGGGGACAAUCGAGCUGCUGGGUUAGCAGCCUCAUCUUGAGAUUGUUUAUGUUGCGGAGUUCUAAGAACGUCAGCAAAAGAUUUGGAGACAAUGGGAUGUAAUUUGGAAGCCUCUAAAUAUGAGAUGCAGUUUUGAGCCAUUGACACUUUGAUAUUUUUUUGUCGGGAAAAUUCAGGACAAGCCUUACUAGUGGCAAAAUGAUAGCCAGAACAAAGACAACAUGAUCCAUCCUCUUGUUCUACUGAACAAGAUUCGGCAGUAUGACCUUGCCCGCAUUUAUAGCAGCGAGGCUUGGAGCGGCAUUGAGCCUUUGUAUGACCAAAACGGCAGCAGCUGUAACAUUGAAUGGUUGGGUAAAUGUACAAGUCGACAGUCAAUGGAGUAUAGCACAUAAACACACGUUUUGGUAAUACUUGUCCAUCGAAAGUUAAAACAACUGUUUCAGUGUUAGUAAAUUCUGGAGACCCAUUUAUAA
RNAcentral lists this long non-coding RNA (929 nucleotides) under Pectinophora gossypiella (pink bollworm). Its description in RNAcentral is "uncharacterized LOC126368110". The record is from RNAcentral. Lineage: Eukaryota; Metazoa; Arthropoda; Insecta; Lepidoptera; Gelechiidae.